This 406-nucleotide ribosomal RNA is filed under the name uncultured bacterium. Its description in RNAcentral is "partial 16S ribosomal RNA". It matches the Rfam family "Bacterial small subunit ribosomal RNA", at positions 28 to 526 of the family's 1533-position model. The record is from RNAcentral.
GACGAACGCUGGCGGCGCGCUUAACACAUGCAAGUCGAGCGAAGCGGCGGACGGGUGAGUAACACGUGAGUAACCUGCCUUAGACAUUGGGAUAGCCUCGGGAAACCGGGAUUAAUACCAAAUGGUCUAAGAUGGAAUCGCGUCCCAUUAGCUAGUUGGUGGGUAACGGCCCACCAAGGCGACGAUGGGUAGCCGGCCUGAGAGUGUGAGCGGCCACAUUGGAACUGAGAAACGGUCCAACCUCUACGGGAGGCAGCAGGGGGGAAUAGUGCACAAUGGAGGAAGCUCAUGUGCAGCGACGCCGCGUGAACGAGGAAGGCUUUCGAGUCGUAAAGUUCUUUUAUAUGGGAAGCGGUACCAUAAGAAAAAGCCCCGGCUAACUACGUACCAGCAGCCGCGGUAAUUC